AUAGAUUUAAGUUAAUGUUUUCAAACUAUUAGUCUUCAAAACUAAAAAUUUUAUCUAUA
This 59-nucleotide transfer RNA is filed under the name Strongyloides sp. EN-2020a. Its description in RNAcentral is "tRNA-Trp". The record is from RNAcentral. Lineage: Eukaryota; Metazoa; Nematoda; Chromadorea; Rhabditida; Strongyloididae.